RNAcentral lists this non-coding RNA (28 nucleotides) under Homo sapiens (human). The record is from RNAcentral. Lineage: Eukaryota; Metazoa; Chordata; Mammalia; Primates; Hominidae.
UGUGGGGACUGUGCAGACAAGGUAUGAA